GACGAACGCUGGCGGCGUGCCUAAUACAUGCCAGUUGAGCGAUGAAGAUUGGUGCUUGCACCAAUUUGAAGAGCAGCGAACGGGUGAGUAACGCGUGGGGAAUCUGCCUUUGAGCGGGGGACAACAUUUGGAAACGAAUGCUAAUACCGCAUAACAACUUUAAACAUAAGUUUUAAGUUUGAAAGAUGCAAUUGCAUCACUCAAAGAUGAUCCCGCGUUGUAUUAGCUAGUUGGUGAGGUAAAGGCUCACCAAGGCGAUGAUGCAUAGCCGACCUGAGAGGGUGAUCGGCCACAUUGGGACUGAGACACGGCCCAAACUCCUACGGGAGGCAGCAGUAGGGAAUCUUCGGCAAUGGACGAAAGUCUGACCGAGCAACGCCGCGUGAGUGAAGAAGGGUUUCGGAUCGUAAAACUCUGUUGGUAGAGAAGAACGUUGGUGAGAGUGGAAAGCUCAUCAAGUGACGGUAACUACCCAGAAAGGGACGGCUAACUACGUG
Molecule: ribosomal RNA, 497 nt
Filed under: uncultured bacterium
Lineage: Bacteria
Description: partial 16S ribosomal RNA
Rfam family: Bacterial small subunit ribosomal RNA
Source: RNAcentral